RNAcentral lists this ribosomal RNA (219 nucleotides) under Prevotella denticola. RNAcentral's name for it is "partial 23S ribosomal RNA". It matches the Rfam family "Bacterial large subunit ribosomal RNA", at positions 2694 to 2925 of the family's 2925-position model. Lineage: Bacteria; Pseudomonadati; Bacteroidota; Bacteroidia; Bacteroidales; Prevotellaceae. The record is from RNAcentral.
GUGACGGACAGACCUCCGGUCAGCCGGUUGUGCCGCCAGGUGCACCGCCGGGUAUCUGAGUCUGGAACGGAUAAGCGCUGAAAGCAUCUAAGCGCGAAGCCGUCCGCAAGAUGAGAACUCCUCACGAGGGCCGUCACAGACGAUGACGUUGAUAGGGCGCAGGUGUAAAGACGGCGACGUCAAAGCCGAGCGCUACUAAUUGCCCGAAGCUUUCUCCCG